Non-coding RNA from Acanthosepion pharaonis, 100 nucleotides. The record is from the annotation of a GenBank genome assembly. Lineage: Eukaryota; Metazoa; Mollusca; Cephalopoda; Sepiida; Sepiidae.
UACUGUCAGACGAACACCGGUUUCCGUACGAUCACCGAAGUUAAGCAAUGCCGAGCCUGGUCAGUCCGUAGAUGAGUGACCGCUUGGAAAUACCAGAUGC